This 65-nucleotide transfer RNA is filed under the name Bostrichoidea sp. 6 KM-2017. Its description in RNAcentral is "tRNA-Tyr". Lineage: Eukaryota; Metazoa; Arthropoda; Insecta; Coleoptera. The record is from RNAcentral.
AGUAGGGUGGCUGAGGUCAAGCGAUAAACUGUAAAUUUAUUAACGAAUAUAUAUAUUCUCCUUCU